RNAcentral lists this ribosomal RNA (467 nucleotides) under uncultured bacterium. RNAcentral describes it as "partial 16S ribosomal RNA". It matches the Rfam family "Bacterial small subunit ribosomal RNA", at positions 28 to 506 of the family's 1533-position model. The record is from RNAcentral.
GACGAACGCUGGCGGCGUGCUUAACACAUGCAAGUCGAACGGAAAGGCCCUGCUUUUGUGGGGUGCUCGAGUGGCGAACGGGUGAGUAACACGUGAGUAACCUGCCCUUGACUUUGGGAUAACUUCAGGAAACUGGGGCUAAUACCGGAUAGGAGCUCCUGCUGCAUGGUGGGGGUUGGAAAGUUUCGGCGGUUGGGGAUGGACUCGCGGCUUAUCAGCUUGUUGGUGGGGUAGUGGCUUACCAAGGCUUUGACGGGUAGCCGGCCUGAGAGGGUGACCGGCCACAUGGGGACUGAGAUACGGCCCAGACGCCUACGGGAGGCAGCAGGGGGGAAUAUGGCACAAGGGGCGGAAGCCUGAUGCAGCAACGCCGCGUGCGGGAGGACGGCCUUCGGGUGGGAAACCGCUUUCGCCUGUGACGAAGCGUGAGGGACGGUAAUGGGUAAAGAAGCACCGGCGAACUACGU